Peromyscus maniculatus bairdii (prairie deer mouse) is the source of this 2403-nucleotide non-coding RNA. NCBI's taxonomy places the organism in Eukaryota, Metazoa, Chordata, Mammalia, Rodentia, Cricetidae. The record is from RefSeq and is a predicted model, not a curated record.
AAAUACAGACAUCCACAGCUGGACAUACUGCAGAGAGUGAGAGACCUUGGAAAACUCAAUCCUAAAUGAUUGUUUUCAACAAGCCCCUCCUUUAGGACUCAGGCAAAUAUGCAGACUAGGGGGUAGAAAGAUUAUAAGAGCCACAGAGGAUGGAAAAAUAUCAGAAAAACAAGGCCUUCUAGACAAAACAGGAUUUACAUACCUAUGAAGUCAUAGAAAUUAUGCAGCAGUCACAUUACCUGCAUGGGUUUACGCCAGAUGGAGUUUUGGUGCUUAAAGUGGAAGCAGACAGAAACCCACCUCCCUAAACCAGAAGCUAUCUCCAAAUGAUAGUGGAUCACAAAGGAAAAACUGUUUUUCAGAGUCUCACUGGGUCAAAGCAUAAUGACAGGUAAGCCUCAUGGCCACCAGAGGUUGGCCAACACAAACUGAAACUCAAUGGUACUUUUGGAGUUUUUUUUUUUAAACUUUACAGAUCCUUUGCUUACAUACUGUGAUUUCCAAUUUUGUCUUUUAUCAGUUGUCUGUCUAUGCAGAUGUGCUAUUGAACAGGACAAAGAAGAAAUCUUGGUACUAGAGGCAGCAGAAGAAAGAGCUAUGGAGUGGGGACUAUCAGCCAGAGACACAGUCUCUGCACUGUGUUUCCAACUUCAGCUUAAGGGCUGGGGAAUUACUAACAGAUUUGUGGAACACAAACUUCAGAAUCCUAACUCAGAUUCCUUGCACAUCCAAGGGAGAGAGUGCCAGUGCUGUGUUCAGCCCCAGACUGCAGAAUCCAGAGGAAAAGAGGAGGAGGCUCACAGGCUGGGGCAGCUGCCAAUCUUCCUGUGCCUUUACUGCCUCCUUGUGGUGGAUUGCAUGUAGUACAUGACUCCAGUGUGUAGGAGCUGUAACUGCCACCAGCAACUCUGUACCCAGACUGAGUAGGUAAGAGGGUGGGGUCUUUGUUAUCCAAAGGAUUCUAUGGCCUUAUGCUUGUCAGGCUAGACGCACAAACCAGGUCACUCUCCUUUCUUUCCGCUCACCCUUGUUAAAACUUGGGAGACUGCUUUCCCCUGAGAAAAUGGACCAGUGAAUUCAAUGAGGGAUUUAAGUUGGCUGAAAUCAAGACUGAAGAUCCUUUCUCCAACCCCACCAUAUCCUUUCCUUCUGAGCUAAUGGAACAGGCUUGUGGAAAGUGUCCAGUUUACCCUGGGCUCAUGGACACUCACUCUGUGUAAGAUGAUGGGGUGUACGAGCUCCAGUCCUCAGGUGCCCACAACCUGGGAGCCAGGUUUGGUUUGCUGUAUAGAACUUCAUCAUGGUUUUGUCUCCUGAUCCUCAUACAGAAGCUUAGUACCAAUCAAUGUCAUCCUACGAACAUUAAUCAAUGUGAGGUGAGAAAGAAAUAUUGAUGCUGGAUGUGACUUUCAUGUUGUCUGUGAUACCAAAAGGUAGGUGAGUUACUACCCAAUUGUGACAGAAGACAGUUUUCUUUCCUCUAUACUGUGUCCCCACAGCUCCCUCAGGUUGAUGAUGUCUGGUUGAGCAGACAGGCCCUCUUACAAUUGUGGGUUCUGUAGUAAGCUACUGACUCUGUUAUCUUGUAGGCCUCCCCUGUCCUGACAGGCUUCCUCAGCUCAGGGAAGCUGGGGGAUGAGAGGGAGGGAGGGGAAGGAAAGAUGCUAAGGCUAUAGAAGGAUAUGGGCUUAAGAGAUUGGGAAAUGGAGGGAAAGAAAGGGAGGGCAGCUACAUUUAGAGGUAGGGGUAGCAGAUUUUCACAUUGUACGCUCAGGAGGAGGUACAUUUGGAGGAAUUCAUUACAAGGAGACUCUCAGAUCAUCUCUGAUGCCCAGGGCCAUUUCUAACAGUGUUACAGUCUACUGGGUAGCUCUCAAUGCUUGUCCUGGUUCUAGAGAGCCCCAUGUAUAGGUGGUAAGAAGGGUAAGAAGGAGGGAGACAAAGGGAGGCAAGGCUCUUUCCUGGAGGAACAGACUAUGUUCCAGGGCUGUGCUGUAGCCACUGACAACCAAUAUAACCUCCACCAUUCAGUGGGAGGAGGUGGGCUUGAAUUUCCUAAGACCAUGAGCAAGAUGUUGUCUGUGACCUGGUGAUGCUGAACUGAGGCACCCCAGGUCAGUCAUCUAGUCCAUGCUUGGGCCCACAUCCAUGGGAGUGACAUUCUGUUUUUAUUCUGACUAUGGCCUUACUUGGAUAUAGUAAGGAAAGCUGUAAUCAAGAUUCACCAAACCAACCUUCUCUGGAUUAGUCAUGAAACCUUUUUAUUGUUCUUUCUUUGAGCUUCAUGAAGCAAUGGGAAUUUUCUCAGACAAGCAAUGCUUUGGAACUGUGAGAGGGGAAAUGGAAACACUGAUGAAAUUCUAAGUUACAGGAGGCUCUGUUCAGUUCACCACCAGAAACUGA